UAGCCUGUGAGGGAGGAAGAAACAUUUGCUAACCAGUGACAGAAAUGGAUUCGAAAUACCAGUGUGUGAAGCUGAAUGAUGGUCACUUCAUGCCUGUCCUGGGAUUUGGCACCUAUGCGCCUGCAGAGGUUCCUAAAAGUAAAGCUCAAGAGGCCGUCAAAUUGGCAAUAGAAGCCGGGUUCCGCCAUAUUGAUUCUGCACAUGUUUACAAUAAUGAGGAGCAGGUUGGACUGGCCAUCCGAAGCAAGAUUGCAGAUGGCAGUGUGAAGAGAGAAGACAUAUUCUACACUUCAAAGCUUUGGAGCAAUUCCCAUCGACCAGAGUUGGUCCGACCAGCCUUGGAAAGGUCACUGAAAAAUCUUCAAUUGGACUAUGUUGACCUCUACCUUAUUCAUUUUCCAGUGUCUGUAAAGCCAGGUGAGGAAGUGAUCCCAAAAGAUGAAAAUGGAAAAAUACUAUUUGACACAGUGGAUCUCUGUGCCACGUGGGAGGCCAUGGAGAAGUGUAAAGAUGCAGGAUUGGCCAAGUCCAUCGGGGUGUCCAACUUCAACCACAGGCUGCUGGAGAUGAUCCUCAACAAACCAGGGCUCAAGUACAAGCCGGUCUGCAACCAGGUGGAAUGUCAUCCUUACUUCAACCAGAGAAAACUGCUGGAUUUCUGCAAGUCAAAAGACAUUGUUCUGGUUGCCUAUAGUGCUCUGGGAUCCCAUCGAGAAGAACCAUGGGUGGACCCGAACUCCCCGGUUCUCUUGGAGGACCCAGUCCUUUGUGCCUUGGCAAAAAAGCACAAGCGAACCCCAGCCCUGAUUGCCCUGCGCUACCAGCUGCAGCGUGGGGUUGUGGUCCUGGCCAAGAGCUACAAUGAGCAGCGGAUCAGACAGAACAUGCAGGUGUUUGAAUUCCAGUUGACUUCAGAGGACAUGAAAGCCAUAGACGGCCUAAACAGAAAUGUGCGAUAUUUGACCCUUGAUAUGUAAGUGAUUUUGGAGAUGGAUGUCCUAAUUUAUUUUCAGAGGAGGAAUGUAAGAUGGAUGUUGAGAGUGACCUCCACACCAGGGGCACAGAGGCCAAUGUGAGACAGAGUUUUGCUGGCCCCCCUAAUUAUCCAUUUUCUGAUGAAUAUUAACAUGGAGGGCAUUGCAUGAGGUCUACCAGAAGGCCCUGCGUGUGGAUGGUGACACAGAGGAUGGCUCUAUGCUGGUGACUGGACACAUCACCUCUGGUUAAAUCUCUCCUGCUUGGUGACUUCAGCAAGCUACAGCUAAGCCCAUCGGCCGGAAAAGAAAGACAAUAAUUUUGUUUUUCAUUUUGAAACAAUUAAAUGCUCUCUCCUAAAGAUUCUUCACCUA
Molecule: RNA transcript, 1349 nt
Organism: Pan troglodytes (chimpanzee)
Lineage: Eukaryota; Metazoa; Chordata; Mammalia; Primates; Hominidae
Gene: AKR1C2
Gene name: aldo-keto reductase family 1 member C2
Exons: 9
Source: RefSeq, a predicted model, not a curated record